AUUGAACGCUGGCGGCAGGCUUAACACAUGCAAGUCGAGCGAGCGGCGGACGGGUGAGUAAUGUCUGGGAAACUGCCUGAUGGAGGGGGAUAACUACUGGAAACGGUAGCUAAUACCGCAUACCAUCGGAUGUGCCCAGAUGGGAUUAGCUAGUAGGUGGGGUAAAGGCUCACCUAGGCGACGAUCCCUAGCUGGUCUGUGAGGAUGACCGGCAACACUGGAACGGAGACAAGGUCCAGACGCCUACGGGAAGCAGCAGUGGGGAGUAUUGCACAAGGGGCGCAAGCCUGAUGCAGCCAUGCCGAGUGUAUGAAGAAGGCCUUAGGGUUGUAAAGUACUUUCAGCGGGGAGGCGUUACCCGAAGAAGAAGCACCGGCUAACUCCGUGCCAGCAGCCGCGGUAAUAC
RNAcentral lists this ribosomal RNA (406 nucleotides) under uncultured bacterium. RNAcentral describes it as "partial 16S ribosomal RNA". It matches the Rfam family "Bacterial small subunit ribosomal RNA", at positions 29 to 526 of the family's 1533-position model. The record is from RNAcentral.